GUAACACGUAUGCAACUUACCCUUUACUGGGGCAUAGCUCAGAGAAAUCUGAAUUAAUUCCCCAUAAUGAUAUUGAAUCGCAUGAUUUGAUAUCUAAAGCUCCGGCGGUAAAGGAUAGGCAUGCGGUGUAUUAGCUAGUUGGUGAGGUAAUGGCUCACCAAGGCUACGAUACAUAGGGGUUCUGAGAGGAUGAUCCCCCACACUGGUACUGAGACACGGACCAGACUCCUACGGGAGGCAGCAGUAGGGAAUAUUGGUCAAUGGACGCAAGUCUGAACCAGCCAUGCCGCGUGCAGGAUGACGGCCCUCUGGGUUGUAAACUGCUUUUAUAUGGGAAGAAACCCCGGGAUGCGUUCCGGGCUGACGGUACCAUACGAAUAAGGAUCGGCUAACUUCGUGCCAGCAGCCGCGGUAAGACGAAGGAUCCAAGCGUUGUCCGGAUUUACUGGGUUUAAAGGGUGCGUAGGCGGAUGCUUAAGCCAGUGGUGAAAUCUCUCAGCUCAACUGAGAAACUGCCAUUGGAACUGGGUAUCUUGAAUUCGAUUGAGGUAGAUGGAAUAUAACAUGUAGCGGUGAAAUGCUUAGAUAUGUUAUGGAACACCGAUUGCGAAGGCAGUCUACUAAGUCGACAUUGACGCUGAGGCA
This 645-nucleotide ribosomal RNA is filed under the name uncultured bacterium. RNAcentral describes it as "bacterial SSU rRNA". It matches the Rfam family "Bacterial small subunit ribosomal RNA", at positions 110 to 753 of the family's 1533-position model. The record is from RNAcentral.